This 359-nucleotide ribosomal RNA is filed under the name uncultured bacterium. RNAcentral's name for it is "partial 16S ribosomal RNA". It matches the Rfam family "Bacterial small subunit ribosomal RNA", at positions 338 to 694 of the family's 1533-position model. The record is from RNAcentral.
CCUACGGGUGGCAGCAGUGAGGAAUAUUGGUCAAUGGGCGCAAGCCUGAACCAGCCAAGUCGCGUGAGGGAUGACGGUCCUAUGGAUUGUAAACCUCUUUUGUCGGGGAGCAAGGCCUGCCACGUGUGGCGGGAAGGAGAGUACCCGAAGAAAAAGCUCCGGCCAACCCCGUGCAAGCAGCCGCGGUAAUACGGAGGUUGCGAGCGUUAUCCGGAUUUAUUGGGUUUAAAGGGUGCGUAGGCGGACGGUUAAGUCAGUGGGAAAACGUGGGGGCUCAACCCCGGCCGGACGUUGAAACUGGCAGUCUAGAGUUGGAGAGAAGUAUGCGGAAUGCGCGGUGUAGCGGUGAAAUGCAUAGA